Rheinheimera sp. A13L is the source of this 360-nucleotide non-coding RNA. Lineage: Bacteria; Pseudomonadati; Pseudomonadota; Gammaproteobacteria; Chromatiales; Chromatiaceae. The record is from Rfam.
GAGUUGGCCCAGACAAUCGCUGCCUGCGUAAGCAGGGGGAGGAAAGUCCGGGCUCCAUAGGGCAGAGUGCCAGGUAACGCCUGGGCGGCGCGAGCCGACGACUAGUGCAACAGAGAGCAAACCGCCGAUGGCCCUUGCGCAAGCAAGGGAUCAGGUAAGGGUGAAAGGGUGCGGUAAGAGCGCACCGCGCGGCUGGUAACAGUUCGUGGCACGGUAAACUCCACUCGGAGCAAGACCAAAUAGGCCCCCUUUGGCGCGGCCCGCGUUGGGGGCGGGUAGGUUGCUUGAGGCGUACGGUGACGUACGUCCUAGAGGAAUGAUUGUCCACGACAGAACCCGGCUUAACGGGCUAACUCACAC